UUGAUCUCAAAUCAGGUAGGACUACCCGCUGAACUUAAGCAUAUCAAUAAGCGGAGGAAAAGAAACUAACAAGGAUUCCCCUAGUAACUGCGAGUGAAGCGGGAAGAGCUCAAAUUUAAAAUCUGGCGUGCCUCCGGCCGUCCGAGUUGUAGUCUGGAGAAGCGUUUUCCGUGUUGGACCGUGUAUAAGUCUCUUGGAACAGGGCGUCAUAGAGGGUGAGAAUCCCGUCUUUGACACGGACUACCAAUGCUUUGUGAUGCGCUCUCAAAGAGUCGAGUUGUUUGGGAAUGCAGCUCAAAAUGGGUGGUAAAUUCCAUCUAAAGCUAAAUAUAGGCGAGAGACCGAUAGCGAACAAGUACCGUGAGGGAAAGAUGAAAAGCACUUUGGAAAGAGAGUUAAACAGUACGUGAAAUUGCUGAAAGGGAA
RNAcentral lists this ribosomal RNA (426 nucleotides) under uncultured fungus. RNAcentral describes it as "eukaryotic LSU rRNA". It matches the Rfam family "Eukaryotic large subunit ribosomal RNA", at positions 1 to 418 of the family's 3401-position model. The record is from RNAcentral. Lineage: Eukaryota; Fungi.